UUGUGCUUUCAGAGGACAGACUGCCAUUUUAAACUCAGUUAUGUCAAACAUCUAACAACGUAGCCCACAGUACGAAUCUUCUGAAAUGUGGAGGGUGUGACAGCAGAUCUCUGAUCCAUCACUGAAUUAUUUGAUAAACUUCAAUCAACAGAUGCAAGCAAGAUUCAUAAGAAGUUCCUUUGUAGGAAAGCCCAAACUCACCAAUAGUAAAUGAAAGCCUUCUGUGAAUAAAAUCCUGGAGAAAACUGUACUGCAACUAAAUUACAUGCUGGAUGAGCUUUGGCAAUGAAUCUCACAAAGUUCAUGAAAUUAUGACACACAGCUUCAAAAGGAACCAUGAAAAGUGAAGAAAGACCUGAGGUGUACACGUGUGGAAGCUUUGCACCUUGCAUGGUCACUGCAGCCCACCAGCCUGCACACAGAGGUGAAUGCGUCGUGAUCCGUGUCAUAGGAACCUCUCACUGAGUGAGAAGCUGUCAUUGCAGGAAAGGAACCAGCUGUGGGUUGGUGUACUUUGGGCAAUACAGCAGCAGGGAUCGUCAUGACCGAUGCGUGCAUCCAUGAGGAAGAGACGCAGACAUCUGAAGUGACACGUCCCUUAGCAGCACUGCAGUAACACACAAACUGGAGAACAAAAGUUGCAGGCGAAGGCCAACAACUCUUGCUGCCAGGAGAAACACAGCCCCAGUGAUCACUUCUGCGACAAAAGAGAUCCAGACCAGUGCCAGAGACCAGCCAAACCUGAUGUCAAUUUCUACCAGGACAUCCUUACUCCUCAGGAGGCAGACAGCUUCUUCAAAGGCAGCAGCUGAAUAUGCAAUGUAGACACCAAUCCCGGUAAGCGUAACCAGAGCUGGGUAAGAAAAACAUGUUCAGACAAUCACAAUUCACUACAGAAAGUAAAAAUCCUUAUGUAACUCUCUGGGCAUCCUUGCCAUACCUUCUUAUCUACCCAGGGCAGAUUAAGUUAGAUCGAGUUAAAAUUGUUCUUUGGGGAGGGGUGAGAGGAAAAUGAACUGUCAGGUCCUGACAGAAUAAAUACAAAAUGGUUGAACAGCAGUGUGUUAUUCUGAAAGCAAAGGCUUGCUCAACAUUUUUCUCCAGAAGGUAAAGUGAUGUUUUCCAGAUAUAAUCUCUUAUUAUUUAAAUCCAUUAAGCCAAGAGUUUGAUAUACUACCUCCAAAAAGGAAAAGCAGACCCGUCAUUAGAAGCAGUAGAUAUGCCCUGGCAAGAAUACUGAUAAAUCCAGUCAUAGCUCCAAAAAUCAUCAGUAUCAGGCUGAGAGGCAUCAGGAUGACAAAUGUCCCAUGCAUGUCUGAAGAAGAAAUGAAGAGUGUUAGAAUUGUAAUGUUUUACUAUCGUGUCUCUUGAUGCAUUAAUAAUUACUGAGUGCAGAUCCCCCACUCAGCAUCCAAGCCUUGUUCUGUGCAUUCAAAACAAGAAGCUGAACCAUUUCUGUGGCUUUCAGUUUAAACAGGCAGGGCAUGGUAUGGAGAAGAAGGUAUCAUAGGGUGAACCCUCCACGGUAUGUGAUUCUGAGACCAUGAUGAUAAAGGGUAUGUUAGUGCAGAUGUGUUUUAGCAAUAAAUAUCUACUUGGACACUAAGCCCAGCUGGAAAGCAGGUGGUGUGCUGGGUAUCUGUUAGUCACUUGCGACCUUAAGAAGUCAUGCUGGCUAUCUGAAUUAUAAGUAUCACAGUGAGUGGUAUUGUUCUGUUUGGGUGAUGGAGCCUAACCAACACUUUGGUUAAAUGCCUUCUGUCUAUCAUAUACCCUCUGCCAAACUGAUCUACCAAAUUGUUGACCUUUUCCAUUGUUGUAGCUGAACAACAAGUACAGGUACAUUUUCCCAUCCAGCUUUGAUUCUACAACUGUCAUUGUUUUCUACAGCAGCUUCACUAAGUACAUUAACCUAUGCUGGUUGCUUCCUCUUGUUAAUUUUUUUACAUUAGUCCUUAUUGAUCCCUGUAAUAUCUUAAUAGCUGUGUAAACAGAGGGUUGUUGUGUAUUCUUUCAUAUCGUGCUGUUUUCUCCACCAUAGACCAUCUUUGUCUCACCAUUCUUUCUCACACAAUCUAUCUAUAUUAUUCAACCCAAUGUUUUCUGGAAUAACUAAAACAAGUGCUCAGCUUCUGGUGUCUUAUUUCUUAGUAGAGUUUGAGCACAGUAGAGACCAAAGUUACUCAGAGCGGAAAACUUGCAUUAGCCUGUGCUUCAUCAUUUCCCAUCUGUCCCUCACCAAUCACAGCUGCUGCUAUCAAACCUGAGGGCAGUAGCACUAAUGGCGUUCCUUCGCUUUCCUGUCUGCAGUGGGAUUUUUGACUACUGCAGCUAGAACUGUAACCUUAGAUAGGACAAGUGCAGUGAAGAAGAUAAGACUAUUCAGAGCACUUACUUUUGAGCCAAAAGGAGAACGAAUCCAUACCAGAGUAUUAUCCUGGGGAGAGUCAUAAAGUACAUUAAUGAUCUGUGACGCUGCAUAGAGUGGCAGAGUAACUGAUUUUUUUUUAUUUUGCCAUCUGAAGCAAAAAUAUCUUUUAGGGGUAUCUCGGUUGAAACCCACAAACCCCAUGAAUCACCUGCAGCUCAUUAAAAAUCAAAUAUUUAACGGGCUGCAUUUGGUUAAACAGGACUUGUGUCACCUUCCAGUGUUCCAGUUCAGUACCUAAUACUCAUUUGUGCUGCUUCUAUGCAAUCUGCAACUGCCUGUGAAACUUAUUCUAAAAUGCUGCCAUGGAAACCACUCAGGAAUUUGAAUUCAUGCUGUCUGGCAUAUGAUAUUAUACUAUUAUAUUCCUUGAUUAGAGGGAGGGAAUUAGUUUAUAGGAGGACAUGACUUAAAAUAUCUUUACUGUAUUUCUGCUUUCAGUAAUCAUGUGUGGAAGAAGAUCAAACAUAAAUUUAGAGGUCAAACAUGUUGUUGUGUUUUUAGGUUGCCUUGGAAUACGCAGGUUGGUUUUGUAUUACAUGCAAAGCUUCAUUCUGAUAAAAUUGGUAGUCAAGGGAAAAAAAAACAAGCAUUUUGCACGAGAAAAGGCUUGCACGCUUUCUGUAGAGCAGCAUUCACUUUUUCCACUUCCAUUUCUCAGUAGUGCCUGAGUUCCCUGUUGGUAGACCCUAAAAGAUCCAAUGCUAUAAAACAGGCAAACGUUUAAAAACCAUUCCACUUCUAUGGACUGAAAAUACUUUAAUUGCUCAAUCCUUCUUGUAGUUUUACUCUUGCUAGCUGAAGCUGUGACCAAAUGUCUGCAAGAGUGACAUCUGCAGAGUGUAUCCAUAUCUGUGAGUUGGGCAGAUGCUUCUAAAUUACAAUCCAGCGCAGUUGUUGAUGAGUAGUGUCAUGGUUUUGUAAUAACGGGUCUCUGGAAUGAACUACAAAAACUGACUGGUAUCAAAGCUGACCAGUUGCAGGUCCAGCAGAUGUUACCAUCUCCUGUUAAUAUGCUGGAGCUCCACUGCUUCAAACAAACUUUGGAUUUGUUUGCACAGCUUGUGAUAGAAAGCAAUAGUCAUUACAUCAGAAAUAUCCCAAAUGACAGCAGCUCAGAAGACCUUAAUUAAAGACCUGUUUAUCUUCCUCAGCAGUAACUAAAUAGCCAGUCAGAAAGCACUGCAUGGAAAGCUACAGUUCAACAGAGUGCUGGCAGUAGCACAGCCAGCAGGGCUGCUCUGGAAAGGUUUGGCAGGGCUCAGAUUGAACAGCAUGCUUAGAAGGCCUAAUGACUAUCUCUGUGAAUAGGGAGAAGAGUGGGUGCAGCUGGUUGGUGACUGCAGGUCCAUGCGCUGUGAGGAAAUCCAGUCUUGUUUUACUAUUUUCUUAAAUUAAUUUUGUUGAGGAAGAAACUGAGGCAGCUGUUACACCAGGGGUACUCAGUGACUGCCUCUACAGCAGGGAUUGCUUUCCUGCCAGCUUCCCUGCCAGAAGCACUAACUUAUCUGCAGCCUCAUGGGUCUGAGUAAGUUAAUGACUAUAAAAAAUACACUGGGGACAAUAUUUCAGCAGCUGUGGACAGGCAGCUGUAUGCUCCAGAAUUGAUUUUUACAAGAAGAGCAUUUCCUUUCAGUGGGGUGUAAGUGGAAACUUCAGCCCAUGUUUGUGAAGAGGUGCCCGGAAGCACAAUAGGCUUUUUGGUUUCUGCCCAAAAUGGACAGGCUUCCAUUACACUGAAUUAGCAGAGCAAAAAAAGGAAAUGAAAGUUACAUUAUGAAAACUUAGUAGUAUUUCCCUCAAAUAUAUCUUUUCAGAAUACUUCAUGAGACUGUACGGAGCUGUAUGAAAAUACACACCUGUGGUAGAAAAGCAUUUUAUAAAUGCAGAAAAGCAAGUGGUAGGUAGUCUGGCAUAUCUUCUUUAAACAGUGGCUGGUGUUCCAAACAAAUACAUAAUCAUCCUAUAAAGUAAACAGUAGUUUGAAGGCAUUUUUAUACAAUGUGGGUGAGAGGUAUGUCGUGUUCAGCUGAAGGGAGUGGUGAGGAAAGAACUGGAAGUUUAAUGUACAGGAGAAGAAGUGCUUGUGUCUGGGCCAUGAAAGAAACAGCUCAGAGGUGCUCCAGUGAUGUGAAAGUACAUUGCACCCUCAGGGUUAACAAGACCUGGGCUGAUUGCCUCAGUAAUGCUGCUGGUAGCACGGAACUUUAAUUUGAAUGCCCAAUUUUUCUAUUUUGUCUGGAGUUCUAUUUGAAGCACGCAAUAAGGCUACUAGGAAACUGCUGGAGAUGAAUAGGAGAGAUUGGAAAUGUGGAGGGAGAGAACACGAAGGCUUUUCAUUCUCUAACGAGGGGUUUGUCCUCUGUCAGCGACCAGCACUUCUAUUUCACUUAGACCCAGCUCUCUGCACGCAGGUACAGACUCUCUUCCAUCUUUUUGGCACUCGUGUCUAUUAAAGUCAUGCCAGAAAGAGUAUAGGAGCACUGAAAAAAGCAGAGCAAGAUUACUGAUGAGAGACUUAAGUGCCUGCACUAGGAGACAGUGCUUUAAAGCUUUUUGGGAAUAACAGGCAAGGUUAGCAGAGCUGCUGAAAUUCAGUCUGCCAAUCAAGCAGUGAGAAAAGUGAGUGUACAUCUGGGCAGAAUUAGAUUAAUUGAAACAUGUAAGCAUUGUUCACACUGACAUCCACAAAUGAGCAUAGAAAAUAAUACAAGUUUUUAAACUAACUGAUGAAGGCAGCGCAGUUAGCUGGAUUGUCUUACAUAGCAACACAUGAAGAAACUGCUUGAAUUACCCUUACUACACUGGGUGCUGGAAUUGUCCUAUGAAAGUCUAAUUAAAAUUUGUUGUCAAUUGUGGUUUGCCCAGAUCUGCCUAAAUACAAUUCAGGGACCACAGUCAGAAAACACUUCAAGAAAGAAAUACAAGGCUGAAGUAGAACAUAAAUACCAAACCAGAUGGCACCUUCAGAAAUGUGUGUGUUUCCUAGAAGUACAGCUGCUGUUGCUGUGCAGCUGUGGUCUCAUCACACUGGAGCUGCAUUGAAGCUGUGCACCUAAAAUAUCAGAGUUCACUUUGUUGGGUAUUCUAAUCAAAUCUAAUAGGUUUGUUUAGUUAAAGUGUCCUAUUUACUCAUUUUUAGACAGACUAUGCCUGCUUAUAAUAAAGCAAGUGAGUAUCUUUGCAGGCUUGUAGGCUCUGCGUAUAAACAGUGUUUGAUGUGAGAGACAAAAUCUCUCUGAGUCUCUGAAGAGUCUGUACGUGCACUUAUGGAUCCAAUUUUUUCAUAUAUCCCCUAUUUUCUUACCCUGCCUGACUACCAAAGAGGUGUCCUUUGUUUCCAAGCUGAUGUCAUUUUUAGAAUAAAAGCUCUGGAAUAGUUUUGAUUCUGUUUUAGCAGAAUUCAGUUUUUACUGAAGAGCUGUAAUCUAAAACCUCUUUAUGUGAGAGGAAUACAGAUGCAGCAUUUACAAACAUAAUGUUGUCUUAACGUUUUAGGCAACUUCUGACCUCACUGGUUGAGGUGCCUGUAUGUAAAUGUGAUUGGUGUGGUUAGGUUUAAUCAAUUCAUUGUUAGCUUUGAACUCCUCAAAGGAUUCAGCAGUGCAGGAGCCAAUCAGUGUCAGUUAUCUUCAUGGUUUUUAUCAUCAUCAUGCAGCUAUGGCCCUCUGCUUUAAGGAAGGAAGGUGAAAGAAAUGGCAGCUUUCUAUUUUCAAGUAUAGAGAUGGUCUGUGCUGAUAGGCUCCAACCUGUCACUGUGUUGGUGGUGAUGCUGCUUAUUCCUACUUGAACUUCCCAGCAACACAACUGCAUUGCAUCAGUACCCCUGGGCUUGCUUUGCCAUUGUUGCUGCAUCAGUACAUUCUGGUACUGACAAACCUAAAGAUAAAGAGCAUCAGGUGUGCAGAUAGAAAUUUUAAUUAACUUUUUGAGCACGAUGUUCUUCACAGAGCUGUAAUGCUUCUUUUAGUUAUUGUUUCCUUAAAUUCCUGUACCAUAAUACUUUUUCAGAGGGAGGGAUCCCAAUGACAAGGUAGAGAAGUGGCUGAAUUAAAUGUUAAAUGUCUUAUGUGGGAAUCUUCAACAUUCCUGCCUUUUGCUUAUAACAACCCUGAGCCCUCCCAGGCAGGAAGGUGCUCUCAUGGCAGAAACUGGCUGACCCUGACAUCAAGCAGAGGGUUCUGCCAACAGCAAUCCCUCUUAAAGUCCACGUACAGUGAAAGUACAGUGCAGAUCUCAGAGCCCCUCUGAAGCAGUGCUGGGAGCAUGUGUGUGGACCAGAGAGGUGGGCAGGGUGUGGGGAAGAAGAGGAAUAACACAGCAGUUACUCACAUAAGAGCUGUCGGUGUGAGUCGGUGAUGUUUGAGUUCUCAUGCCAGAAGGGGUUGAUCAAAGGGUAGCACUUGCUCCUAACUGAUAUAGAAGGGGG
Non-coding RNA from Coturnix japonica (Japanese quail), 6857 nucleotides. The record is from RefSeq and is a predicted model, not a curated record. Lineage: Eukaryota; Metazoa; Chordata; Aves; Galliformes; Phasianidae.